UGACCUCCAAUCCAGGAAGAAUACCCGCUGAACUUAA
This 37-nucleotide ribosomal RNA is filed under the name Agaricus sp. LD2012105. RNAcentral describes it as "partial 28S ribosomal RNA". Lineage: Eukaryota; Fungi; Basidiomycota; Agaricomycetes; Agaricales; Agaricaceae. The record is from RNAcentral.